UAUUUUGUGUUGAUUUUGGUUUACUUUUAAUUUAAAAUUAAAUUUCCAUGUAAAAAUCUCCAAGUGGCAAAAUGUUAGUUAAAGACUUUUUAAAUGAUUUAAAAGAAAAUAUUGAUAAAGAUUCUAUUGAUCGCUUGUGGAUUUUAAACCGCGAAAUACUUAAUUUGGAAGAAACUCUAGGUUUGGAAUGUGAAUGGCAAGAUUUUUCUAAUCGUGUAUAUUGUGAACUCUUGGAAAAGUACAAAUUUAACAUCAGCCAAAUGAAUAUGUCGAUGUAUUGAUUCUUCAUUCUCUUCCAUAAAAAAUUUAUCCAUAAAAAUUGAUCAAGAAGCCGAUCCAGAGUUAGCUUGGGACUUUUUGAAAUAUUAUGAAAACAUAUUAAUACAACGAAAAAUUUUACUGAUUUCAGUGAAAAAUAAUUGCCCAGGUGCUCUUCAAAAAUAUAAAAAAUUGAUCGCAGAACAAAAUUCAAACGACGAUGUUGGAAAACAACUUGGAUUAAACAUUUAUCAGGAAUUUUUGCUAAAAAAUUCAGCAAUAACUUUUAAAUGAAAGUAGAACAAGUAAAAGGUAUAAAGGAAAAUGUCGAUUAAAACAUUGAUUAUUAAAUAUUAAAGAUGUAUUGAAAGGGAUGAAAUUCGAAUAUUUUUUAUUUUAUUCGAGUCUUUCCGUUUAGUGUAUUAAAACAUAAACUCCUAUAAUAUACAAAGAUGUCUGUGAUCAAAAUUACAAAAUGUGUUAUUGCCGUGAUAUGUACUUGAAAUAGAAAUUUGUUAACAACCUGAUGAAAUAAAAUUUAAUAAAAAGUCUUGUUCUAUUAAACAUUUAAUAUGUAUGUAUG
RNA transcript from Condylostylus longicornis, 841 nucleotides. RefSeq lists it as uncharacterized. The record is from RefSeq and is a predicted model, not a curated record. Lineage: Eukaryota; Metazoa; Arthropoda; Insecta; Diptera; Dolichopodidae. The transcript has 3 exons.